This 433-nucleotide ribosomal RNA is filed under the name uncultured bacterium. Its description in RNAcentral is "partial 16S ribosomal RNA". It matches the Rfam family "Bacterial small subunit ribosomal RNA", at positions 29 to 507 of the family's 1533-position model. The record is from RNAcentral.
AACGAACGCUGGCGGCAUGCCUAACACAUGCAAGUCGAACGAGACCUUCGGGUCUAGUGGCGCACGGGUGCGUAACGCGUGGGAACCUGCCUUUAGGUUCGGAAUAACUCAGAGAAAUUUGAGCUAAUACCGGAUGAUGUCUUCGGACCAAAGAUUUAUCGCCUUUAGAUGGGCCCGCGUUGGAUUAGCUAGUUGGUGGGGUAAAGGCCUACCAAGGCGACGAUCCAUAGCUGGUCUGAGAGGAUGAUCAGCCACACUGGGACUGAGACACGGCCCAGACUCCUACGGGAGGCAGCAGUGGGGAAUAUUGGACAAUGGGCGAAAGCCUGGUCCAGCAAUGCCGCGUGAGUGAUGAAGGCCUUAGGGUUGUAAAGCUCUUUUACCCGAGAUGAUAAUGACAGUAUCGGGAGAAUAAGCUCCGGCUAACUCCGUG